RNAcentral lists this ribosomal RNA (393 nucleotides) under bacterium enrichment culture. Its description in RNAcentral is "bacterial SSU rRNA". It matches the Rfam family "Bacterial small subunit ribosomal RNA", at positions 521 to 916 of the family's 1533-position model. The record is from RNAcentral.
UAAUACGGAGGAUCCGAGCGUUAUCCGGAUUUAUUGGGUUUAAAGGGAGCGUAGGCGGAUGUUUAAGUCAGUUGUGAAAGUUUAAGGCUCAACCUUGAAAUUGCAGUUGAUACUGGAUAUCUUGAGUACAUUGAAUGUGGGCGGAAUUCGUGGUGUAGCGGUGAAAUGCUUAGAUAUCACGAAGAACUCCAAUUGCGAAGGCAGCUCACAGUAAUGUAACUGACGCUGAUGCUCGAAAGUGUGGGUAUCAAACAGGAUUAGAUACCCUGGUAGUCCACACAGUAAACGAUGAAUACUCGCUGUUUGCGAUAUACAGUAAGCGGCCAAGCGAAAGCGUUAAGUAUUCCACCUGGGGAGUACGCCGGCAACGGUGAAACUCAAAUGAAUUGACGG